UCCUGCCUGAAGGAAGAGGAAUAGGUCCAAUUCUAACAGUGGUGCUGAUGAAGGCCGUGGCAUGGCUUAUCUCUUGGAUGAGGUCUGAUCCUCAGAUGACCCGGGUCAAGCGAAAGGUCAAUGGCCUGCAAGCGUGAUCUGUAGCAGCAAGGUGGAAUUCCAAGGUAGGGAUGGCUGAGGCCCGGAGCUCAAGUCUCUCAGAAAAAUAAAAGAUUUUCACCAAAGACUUCAGAAUAAAGCAAGAAUAAAGUCAGAUUUAAGGUGAAGAAAUCUCCGGAUUUACUUCCGCAGGCGUGAGAGUUUUAAAAACACUUGCAGGUUAUGCCGGGAAGAGGUGCUAAUCCCCCUCAGGUGUUCUGGUUUUCCUUCUCAAGCAAAACCGCUACCAGAGGUUUUGUUGAUGGUUUUCCUCUCCGUUGGGCCCAUCUCUCCCGAAACACCUUUAAUUUCCCUCUGUCUCACGUAAGGUUCCUCAGAGGACUCAGCCUGGAGUUUCUCCUGCCAACAGGUUCUUGGUUCACCUCCAGAACUUCUCCAUUUCUCCAGUUGGAGGAGACACGGCACAUGGAGAACAUUUAGGCUUAUUAAAUUCAACAUAAAGGACAUUGAGUUAAUUACAAAUAAUGGAGUUUGUUGUUUUGACCUGUUUCCUUCCAGGCUUCCUGUCACAGUCAGCUGACACCGGGUCUUCCCUCAGCUCGUCAGCUCAACGUGAUGCACCUGCCCACUCUUGCCCGACUCUCCAGCAUUGUUCCUCAGACUGAUUUCCUGGUUUCUGGUCUCGUUCCUGUCCUGGUAACCUGCUCCAAGUCUCUGCCCGCUCUCCUGAGUUCUUCAUCUCUGAGGAUUAUCAAACUAUGGAAUUAAGACUUCAGUCCUACCAGGUAGCUUUCACCUGGAGGAAGUGUUUUCAGCCCAGUAGGACAGAAAAUCUGCGGCCCGUGGGACUGGAUUUGGACACCUCUGAUAUAAUUUCUGCUUGUGUAAAAACUAUCUGCCGAGCAGGAAAGCUGCUUACCAUUCGGAGGAUAACGCUGUCGGGAGCGUCUAUCUACAGGAAAGGGAAAAAAAAUGUCCGUGAUUUCCCAAGGCAAGAUUUCCCUGUUCUGAAACUGCACCGUGCCAUUUGAUUACAGCUUAUCUGCCCCGCACAACACAGAAAAAUCAAAUUGGAAUAGGCUUGGCUUUAUUGUUUGCACUCGGUCCACCUGCUCCACAAACAAACUGAUUUGGCAGAGACACAUGAUCCCUCUCCCAGCUGAUGGCCGCCGCUCUCGUAUCUUUAGAUUUCUUGCAGCAUUUCACGCCUCCGGGAACGGUUUUUAUCUGCCAUCGGAGUAUUAGGAUUGUUUUGCCCGGGACUGUUCCUGCGUUUCUUUAUUUGAGAUUACGUGCGGUUGUGUGAUGGCUGAAAGAUUUCAAUUUAUUUCUGUAACACGCAGAAAACAAGUAAAUAAACUACUUUGAUCACGCGCCCGGAAUAUCAGGAGGGGUGAACGAUGAAAUCUGUGGAAGGGACAAGGGCAACCUGGUUUAGUUGUCCCAUACCGCCGAUGGCAGCUAAUUAUUGUAUUGUUCCGUUGUUGUAUCAUCUAAAUAAGUGCUGCCUUCCAUCAGGGUAGGUUCUGACUGUUCCAAUAAACGGCAGGAUGCCGGAUCGGUGUUGGAAUUGGCACCACAGAGCGAUUGGAGUCGGUGGGAUGUGAAGUAUCAGGUUCCCUAAAUAAAGAAUUUCCUGUUGCUGUUUCAUGUCCUUGUUUAGUGCGUCUAGAAACCCUGUCGGAGCUGCUAACUUCUGUUAGCAUCUCUGCUAAUGCAUCUCGGAGGUCAACUCCCUGGACCCGCGCUGGUGUUAUGUGUUUCCAAACUGGAAG
Takifugu rubripes (torafugu) is the source of this 1874-nucleotide long non-coding RNA. The record is from Ensembl. Lineage: Eukaryota; Metazoa; Chordata; Actinopteri; Tetraodontiformes; Tetraodontidae.